RNAcentral lists this ribosomal RNA (450 nucleotides) under uncultured bacterium. RNAcentral's name for it is "bacterial SSU rRNA". It matches the Rfam family "Bacterial small subunit ribosomal RNA", at positions 355 to 825 of the family's 1533-position model. The record is from RNAcentral.
UCAAGAAACUUCCACAAUGGGCGAAAGCCUGAUGGAGCGACGUCGCGUGAUGGACGAAGUGCUUCGGCACGUAAACAUCUUUUAUGUGGGAUGAAAUUAUUGACAGUACCACAUGAAUAAGGGGCUCCUAACUCUGUGCCAGCAGGAGCGGUAAUACAGAGGCCCCAAGCGUUAUCCGGAAUCACUGGGCGUAAAGGGUGUCGAGGCGGUCGUAUUAGUUGUUUGUAAAAUCCGUGGGCUCAACCUACGGCGCGCAAGCGAAACGGUACGACUUGAGGUUUGGAGAGGUGCGUGGAACUCACGGUGUAGGGGUGAAAUCCGUUGAUAUCGUGGGGAACACCAAAGGCGAAGGCAGCGCACUGGCCAAAAUCUGACGCUCACACACGAAAGCUAGGGUAGCGAAGAGGAUUAGAUACCCAAGUAGUCCCUGAGCGGGCUGGCAAGGCGCAU